GACCCUGUUGAGCUUGACUCUAGUUUGACAUUGUGAAAAGACAUAGGGGGUGUAGAAUAGGUGGGAGCUUCGGCGCCGGUGAAAUACCACUACCCUUAUCGUUUUUUUACUUAUUCGAUGAAGCGGAGCUGGACCUCACAGUCCAACUUCUAGCGUUAAGGUCCUUCGUGGGCCGAUCCGGGUUGAAGACAUUGUCAGGUGGGGAGUUUUGCUGGGGCGGCACAUCUG
Molecule: ribosomal RNA, 228 nt
Filed under: Pycnococcus provasolii
Lineage: Eukaryota; Viridiplantae; Chlorophyta; Pseudoscourfieldiophyceae; Pseudoscourfieldiales; Pycnococcaceae
Description: partial Eukaryotic large subunit ribosomal RNA
Rfam family: Eukaryotic large subunit ribosomal RNA
Source: RNAcentral